This 99-nucleotide signal recognition particle RNA is filed under the name Sedimentisphaerales bacterium. RNAcentral's name for it is "signal recognition particle sRNA small type". It matches the Rfam family "Bacterial small signal recognition particle RNA". From Rfam's summary of the family: The signal recognition particle (SRP) is a universally conserved ribonucleoprotein involved in the co-translational targeting of proteins to membranes. Archaeal SRP consists of a 7S RNA and homologues of the eukaryotic SRP19 and SRP54 proteins. In most bacteria, the SRP consists of a 4.5S RNA and the Ffh protein (a homologue of the eukaryotic SRP54 protein). RNAcentral also lists the same sequence under 1 other name. Lineage: Bacteria; Pseudomonadati; Planctomycetota; Phycisphaerae; Sedimentisphaerales. The record is from RNAcentral.
GGUCGGGUCCCAUGCAAGUACCGCGCGUGAACCGGGUCAGGCGGGGAACCGAGCAGCCCUAAACGGCCGGCGGGCUGUGCCGUGGCAAACCCGACCACU